Rhagoletis pomonella (apple maggot) is the source of this 368-nucleotide long non-coding RNA. RefSeq lists it as uncharacterized. Lineage: Eukaryota; Metazoa; Arthropoda; Insecta; Diptera; Tephritidae. The transcript is spliced from 3 exons. The record is from RefSeq and is a predicted model, not a curated record.
CUGUUGGCGCGUUUGUGACGUCUUACCACUGCCCGCUGCUGUGGUGCUGCGCAAGAAAUAAAGGAAGAAUUUAGCACUUUCUGUUGAUAACAAGUGAAGCGUGAAAAACUGACAACAGUUCCGGUGGAUUUCCCUUUCAUUGAUGAUGGCUCAUGUUAAAAAGCAAAUAAACAGAAGUAAAGAAAUUGUAAAAAACGCUUGAUCAACAAUACCCGUAAAAACGCAGAGUAACUAUUUUCGAAGCUUGCAUUGCUAAGUUGCUAAGUAGUGAAAGUGAGUUAAGGCAACUGCAAAUAAAACACCAAAAAAAAUAUAUACAAUUACUCAUACAUAAUAUAUCUGUAUGUACAUACAUACAUAUGUGAACA